This 186-nucleotide unclassified non-coding RNA is filed under the name uncultured Pochonia. RNAcentral describes it as "sequence contains ITS2". The record is from RNAcentral. Lineage: Eukaryota; Fungi; Ascomycota; Sordariomycetes; Hypocreales; Clavicipitaceae.
CAACCCUCAAGCCCCAGUGGCCUGGUGUUGGGGACCGGCGACCUCGCCCGGGGGAAACACCCCCGGCGCGUCCGCCGCCCCCGAAAUGAAUUGGCGGCCCCGUCGCGGCCUCCUCUGCGUAGUAGCACAACCUCGCAGCGGGAGCGCGACGCGGCCACUGCCGUAAAACGCCCAACUUUUUUUUAG